This 331-nucleotide ribosomal RNA is filed under the name uncultured Butyrivibrio sp. Its description in RNAcentral is "bacterial SSU rRNA". It matches the Rfam family "Bacterial small subunit ribosomal RNA", at positions 28 to 339 of the family's 1533-position model. Lineage: Bacteria; Bacillati; Bacillota; Clostridia; Lachnospirales; Lachnospiraceae. The record is from RNAcentral.
GAUGAACGCUGGCGGCGUGCCUAACACAUGCAAGUCGAACGGGGUUAUAACGCUGAGGAGACUUCGGUCAAAUCUUGUUGUAACCUAGUGGCGGACGGGUGAGUAACGCGUGGAUAACCUGCCAUACACAGGGGGAUAACAGUUAGAAAUGACUGCUAAUACCGCAUAAGCGCCCGAGGGGGCAUCCUCUCGAGUGAAAAGCGAAUACGGUGUAUGAUGGGUCCGCGUCCGAUUAGCCAGUUGGCGGGGUAAGAGCCCACCAAAGCGACGAUCGGUAGCCGGCCUGAGAGGGUGAACGGCCACAUUGGGACUGAGAGACGGCCCAAACUCC